UAAGCGGAGGAAAAGAAACUAACAAGGAUUCCCCUAGUAACGGCGAGUGAAGCGGGAAGAGCUCAAAUUUGAAAUCUGGUGGCCUCAGGCUAUCCGAGUUGUAAUCUAUAGAAACAUUUUCCGCGUUGGCCCAUGUACAAGUCUCUUGGAAUAGAGCGUCAUAGAGGGUGAGAAUCCCGUCCUUGACAUGGACUACCAGUGCUUUGUGAUAUGUUUUCAACGAGUCGAGUUGUUUGGGAAUGCAGCUCAAAAUGGGUGGUAAAUUCCAUCUAAAGCUAAAUAUUGGCGAGAGACCGAUAGCGAACAAGUACCGUGAGGGAAAGAUGAAAAGCACUUUGGAAAGAGAGUUAAACAGUAUGUGAAAUUGUUGAAAGGGAAACGAUUGAAGUCAGUCGUGUCUAUUGGACUCAGCCGGUUCUGCCGGUGUACUUCCUUUAGAUGGGGUCAACAUCAGUUUUGAUCGCUGGAAAAGGGCAGGAGGAAUGUAGCACUCUCGGGUGAACUUAUAGCCUUCUGUCGCAUACAGUGGUUGGGACUGAGGAACGCAGCUUGCCUUUAUGGCCGGGAUUUAUCCACGUACAAGCUUAGGAUGUUGACAUAAUGGCU
This 606-nucleotide ribosomal RNA is filed under the name Solicoccozyma terricola. RNAcentral's name for it is "eukaryotic LSU rRNA". It matches the Rfam family "Eukaryotic large subunit ribosomal RNA", at positions 47 to 639 of the family's 3401-position model. The record is from RNAcentral. Lineage: Eukaryota; Fungi; Basidiomycota; Tremellomycetes; Filobasidiales; Piskurozymaceae.